CCCGGCGACCGGCGCACGGGUGAGUAACACGUAUGAAACCUGCCCGUAGCAGGGGGAUAAGCGAAGAAAUUCCGUCUAAUACCGCGUAACAACCCAUGGAGGCAUCUCUGUGGGUUUAAAGGAAGCGAUUCCGGCUACGGAUGGUCAUGCGUCGCAUUAGCUUGUUGGCGGGGUAACGGCCCACCAAGGCGACGAUGCGUAGGGGUUCUGAGAGGAAGGUCCCCCACACUGGUACUGAGACACGGACCAGACUCCUACGGGAGGCAGCAG
Molecule: ribosomal RNA, 270 nt
Filed under: uncultured bacterium
Lineage: Bacteria
Description: partial 16S ribosomal RNA
Rfam family: Bacterial small subunit ribosomal RNA
Source: RNAcentral